CAAUAGCGUAUAUUAAAGUUGCUGCGGUAAAAAAGCUCGUAGUUGGAUUUCUACCGAAGAUAGCCGGUCGGGUCUUCGACCUUGUAUCUGGUUUUGUCUUUGGUAUCCUCAUAGGGAACGUUUCUGCGCUUUAUUGCGUGGUGCGGUAUCUAUGACUUUUACUUUGAGGAAAUUAGAGUGUUCACGGCAGGCAAACGCCUUGAAUAUAUUAGCAUGGAAUAAUAACAUAGGAUCUUCGUCCUAUUUUGUUGGUUUCUAGGGCUAAGAUAAUGAUUAAUAGGGAUAAUUGGGGGCAUCUGUAUCAACGCGUCAGAGGUGGAAUUCUUGGAUUGCGUUGCGACAAACUACUGCGAAAGCAUUUGCCAAGGAUGUUUUCAUUGA
This 381-nucleotide ribosomal RNA is filed under the name uncultured eukaryote. RNAcentral's name for it is "partial 18S ribosomal RNA". It matches the Rfam family "Eukaryotic small subunit ribosomal RNA", at positions 592 to 976 of the family's 1831-position model. The record is from RNAcentral.